This 347-nucleotide unclassified non-coding RNA is filed under the name soil metagenome. RNAcentral describes it as "partial contains 5.8S ribosomal RNA, internal transcribed spacer 2, and large subunit ribosomal RNA". The stretch from base 1 to 120 matches the Rfam family "5.8S ribosomal RNA", at positions 35 to 154 of the family's 154-position model. The record is from RNAcentral.
GAUGAAGAACGCAGCGAAAUGCGAUAAAUAAUGUGAAUUGCAGAAUUCAGUGAAUCAUCGAGUCUUUGAACGCACAUUGCGCCCCCUGGUAUUCCGGGGGGCACGCCUGUCCGAGCGUCAUUGCUGCCCUCAAGCACGGCUUGUGUGUUGGGCCCCCGUCCCCCCCUCCCGGGGGACGGGCCCGAAAGGCAGCGGCGGCACCGCGUCCGGUCCUCGAGCGUAUGGGGCUUUGUCACCCGCUCUGUAGGCCCGGCCGGCGCCUGCCGACCACCAUCAAUCUUUUUUCAGGUUGACCUCGGAUCAGGUAGGGAUACCCGCUGAACUUAAGCAUAUCAAUAAGCGGAGGA